This 889-nucleotide ribosomal RNA is filed under the name Botryosphaeria ramosa. RNAcentral's name for it is "LSU rRNA". It matches the Rfam family "Eukaryotic large subunit ribosomal RNA", at positions 37 to 944 of the family's 3401-position model. The record is from RNAcentral. Lineage: Eukaryota; Fungi; Ascomycota; Dothideomycetes; Botryosphaeriales; Botryosphaeriaceae.
AGCAUAUCAAUAAGCGGAGGAAAAGAAACCAACAGGGAUUGCUUUAGUAACGGCGAGUGAAGCGGCAACAGCUCAAAUUUGAAAGCUGGCUCCUUCGGAGUCCGCGUUGUAAUUUGUAGAGGAUGAUUCGGCAAGGGCUCCCGCCUAAGUCUCCUGGAACGGAGCGUCAUAGAGGGUGAGAAUCCCGUAUGCGGUGGGCUGCCUAAGCCAUGUGAAUCUCCUUCGACGAGUCGAGUUGUUUGGGAAUGCAGCUCUAAAUGGGAGGUAAAUUUCUUCUAAAGCUAAAUACCGGCCAGAGACCGAUAGCGCACAAGUAGAGUGAUCGAAAGAUGAAAAGCACUUUGGAAAGAGAGUUAAAAAGUACGUGAAAUUGUUGAAAGGGAAGCGCUUGCAGCCAGACUUGUCCGCAGUUGCUCAGCCGGUCUCCUGACCGGUGUACUCUUCUGCGGCCAGGCCAGCAUCAGUUCGGGCGGUCGGAUAAAGACCUCGGGAAUGUAGCUCCUCUCGGGGAGUGUUAUAGCCCGGGGUGGAAUGCGGCCAGCCUGGACUGAGGAUCUCGCUUCGGCUAGGAUGCUGGCGUAAUGGCUGUAAGCGGCCCGUCUUGAAACACGGACCAAGGAGUCUAACAUCUAUGCGAGUGUUUGGGUGUCAAACCCAUGCGCGUAAUGAAAGUGAACGGAGGUGGGAACCCUCACGGGUGCACCAUCGACCGAUCCUGAUGUCUUCGGAUGGAUUUGAGUAAGAGCAUAGCUGUUGGGACCCGAAAGAUGGUGAACUAUGCCUGAAUAGGGUGAAGCCAGAGGAAACUCUGGUGGAGGCUCGCAGCGGUUCUGACGUGCAAAUCGAUCGUCAAAUUUGGGUAUAGGGGCGAAAGACUAAUCGAACCAUC